GUAAUGCCGGAUGCUCCGACUCCUCGCAUGGGGUGUCGGGAAAGAUUUCAUCGGUAUGGGAUGGGGUCGCGUCCUAUCAGGUAGUCGGCGGGGUAACGGCCCACCGAGCCUACGACGGGUAGCCGGCCUGAGAGGGCGACCGGCCACAUUGGGACUGAGAUACGGCCCAGACUCCUACGGGAGGCAGCAGUGGGGAAUAUUGCACAAUGGGCGCAAGCCUGAUGCAGCGACGCCGCGUGCGGGAUGACGGCCUUCGGGUUGUAAACCGCUUUUGAUCGGGAGCAAGCCUUCGGGUGAGUGUACCUUUCGAAUAAGCACCGGCUAACUACGUGCCAGCAGCCGCGGUAAUACGUAGGGUGCAAGCGUUAUCCGGAAUUAUUGGGCGUAAAGGGCUCGUAGGCGGUUCGUCGCGUCCGGUGUGAAAGUCCAUCGCUUAACGGUGGAUCUGCGCCGGGUACGGGCGGGCUGGAGUGCGGUAGGGGAGACUGGAAUUCCCGGUGUAACGGUG
RNAcentral lists this ribosomal RNA (508 nucleotides) under Bifidobacterium pseudocatenulatum. RNAcentral's name for it is "bacterial SSU rRNA". It matches the Rfam family "Bacterial small subunit ribosomal RNA", at positions 163 to 683 of the family's 1533-position model. The record is from RNAcentral. Lineage: Bacteria; Bacillati; Actinomycetota; Actinomycetes; Bifidobacteriales; Bifidobacteriaceae.